Molecule: long non-coding RNA, 1969 nt
Filed under: Cinara cedri
Lineage: Eukaryota; Metazoa; Arthropoda; Insecta; Hemiptera; Aphididae
Source: RNAcentral
AAAGAUUUUAAAUUAUUUUAAUUUGGUGUGUACUCUGUCGAUAAAAUUGUUUGACCAAACAGAAAUGUUUGAAAAUUUAAGACGAAAGUCGUAAAUAUUACAGCCUUUCAAAACAUGUUUAACCGGACAUGGCUACGGAUCGUUUUUUGUUAGCAAUGGUUUAUCGUUGCAUAUAGAACAUAAAAAUUGGACUACUUUGUGUAUCCUAACUUUCCAACUUCUCAUUUACAACAGUAGCACACCCGUCUCCAGUAUAACAUGUUUUUCAAUAAGGUUUUCGUAUUGGUUCGUAGUUAAAUCACGCGAUAUGCCGAUCUAGGUUUAAUCACGAGUAAACACUGUGACGUAAAAAGGUUAUAAUCAUGCCACUCUGCCGCCCGAACUUUAAUCUAGCCAAGCUAAAAUAAGUAUAAAUACGGCUUUGGGAUCUCUAUUCAGGCAUAACGCAUUUUUCUGUACGAUUUUAUUUGUUGGUGAGUACACAUACCUAUUAUAUAUUUACAAUACCGAGUACUUAUAUUUUAUUCUAUAAUGUACAUUAUUAUGUUUUUUUUAUCUUUAUGUUUGCAGUCUUCACUUCAGUUUCACGAAAACAAAACCAAAAAUCAAAAAUGGGCGCUGAAAAGGUAACCAUGAACAUCGUUGUCGUCGGACUUGUCCAAUCCGCCAAGGCCCCCAAGACCGUCGCCAAGGCCGCCCCAGCCACCAACCAAUUAAUGGUGAGUGUACACUGUUAAAAAACUACUACUAAUUAUUAGCAGUUAACCGCUUAUUAAAUUUAUAUAAGUCGUAAUUUAUUUUUCCAUAAAGCGAUACUAAUAUGAUUUUUACAUUAAAAAAAAAAAAAAUGACUUAUUGCAAAAAUACGAAUACAAUGAGUAUAAUGCACUUUAUAUUAGAGAAUAUAUCCUGGAUAUAUUAUUCGUUUACAAAUCGAGUACUGAGUAUUGGUGGAGAAAUAAUUUACAAAGGUACAUACCAGUACCGGCUAAUAGUUUUUAAUUUACGAUAAAAAAAAAAGUACUUAGGUAUAGCCACUAUGCGUAAUCAAUAAAAUAAAUAUAAAUCAAUUUCGCUAAGUAAAAAUUAAAUGUGAAUAACAAACAAUAUAAUUUUAACAUAAUAUUUAAUAUUAUUAUUAAUAUAAUAUAAUUAUUCUUUUGAUUUUUUAAAGAACGAAUUAGGUACGUUAUUAAAAUGAAAACGAAAUCCUUUUAAAUUCGUUUACUUUUUUCUUUUUAGUACAAUAAUUAAAAUCUGUUCUGCCUUCUCUCAAUUAAGUCUGCUUCUUUCCACUUUAUAAACUAAUCCGGUUUUGAGAUGAACCGAUACCCAGUGAAAAUAUACACACGAAUACUCGAUGCAGGAGCAGAUUUUUUUUUUUUUGUCAAUUACAGACACGUAUUUUUUAUUUCGUUAAUUUUAAUAUCGGUAUCAAAUAAUGGCCGAGUAAUAAUUUAAAUACAUACAGGGUAUUGGUCGAGUAUUGAAUAAUUAUUGGGUUAUUACUCGAUGGCCGAAUACUCUGAAUAUCAUCAGACAUGACUAAUUUAUAGUGAAUUUUGUCUUUAUUAAAAUAUUCUAAUACACUGCGUUUGAUUUUCCCCGAGUUCUCUAUUUGUCCAGUAUAAAAUUAUAAUAUUUUGAACGAGAGUAAUGUAUCAUACAUUUUCCAAUGAUUUAGUUUUUAAUUUGUAUUCACAUUACAUAUACCUACUCAAUAUUAAUCGUAUAAUUUGUGUUUUAAGAAUAUUGCAACCGCCUAAUCUAUACCUACUUACCUCAAACAGGUGUAUUUAUUUGUCGUUUUCUCUUGUUUGUUUCAGUCCUGUUAAACUCACGUAGUCCAAACAUCGCAACCUCAAAAAUGCCAUAGUCCAAAACAAUACAAAUUACAUAAAUUAUUAUCAAUUAAUAUUAUGUAUAUUAUGUGUUGACAUCUCAAAAUAAACCACAUCUUAUCCGUCAU